CUAGCUACAGGCUUAACACAUGCAAGUCGAGGGGCAUCAUGGAGUUGCUGCAAACUCUGAUGGCGACCGGCGCACGGGUGAGUAACGCGUAUCCAACCUCCCUAUAGUAGAGGAUAGCCCGGCGAAAGUCGGAUUAAUACUCUAUGUUUCCGUUGCAGACAUCUAAGAUGGAACAAAGGCUUGCCGCUAUAGGAUGGGGGAUGCGUCUGACUAGGUAGUCGGCGGGGUAACGGCCCACCGAGCCAUCGAUCAGUAGAGGUUCUGAGAGGAAGGUCCCCCACAUUGGAACUGAGACACGGUCCAAACUCCUACGGGGGGCAGCAGUGAGGAAUAUUGGUCAAUGGGCGAGAGCCUGAACCAGCCAAGUAGCGUGCAGGAUGACGGCCCUAUGGGUUGUAAACUGCUUUUAUGCGGGGAUAAAGUUCACUACGUGUAGUGUUUUGUAGGUACCGCAUGAAUAAGGACCGGCUAAUUCCGUGCCAGCAGCGGC
RNAcentral lists this ribosomal RNA (490 nucleotides) under uncultured bacterium. RNAcentral's name for it is "bacterial SSU rRNA". It matches the Rfam family "Bacterial small subunit ribosomal RNA", at positions 36 to 518 of the family's 1533-position model. The record is from RNAcentral.